RNAcentral lists this ribosomal RNA (497 nucleotides) under uncultured bacterium. Its description in RNAcentral is "partial 16S ribosomal RNA". It matches the Rfam family "Bacterial small subunit ribosomal RNA", at positions 28 to 507 of the family's 1533-position model. The record is from RNAcentral.
GAUGAACGCUGGCGGCGUGCCUAAUACAUGCAAGUCGAGCGAACAGACGAGGAGCUUGCUCCUCUGACGUUAGCGGCGGACGGGUGAGUAACACGUGGAUAACCUACCUAUAAGACUGGGAUAACUUCGGGAAACCGGAGCUAAUACCGGAUAAUAUAUUGAACCGCAUGGUUCAAUAGUGAAAGGCGGUUUUGCUGUCACUUAUAGAUGGAUCCGCGCCGCAUUAGCUAGUUGGUAAGGUAACGGCUUACCAAGGCAACGAUGCGUAGCCGACCUGAGAGGGUGAUAGGCCACACUGGAACUGAGACACGGUCCAGACUCCUACGGGAGGCAGCAGUAGGGAAUCUUCCGCAAUGGGCGAAAGCCUGACGGAGCAACGCCGCGUGAGUGAUGAAGGUCUUCGGAUCGUAAAACUCUGUUAUUAGGGAAGAACAAAUGUGUAAGUAACUAUGCACGUCUUGACGGUACCUAAUCAGAAAGCCACGGCUAACUACGUG